UUAGUACUCCCUCCGUCCGGAAAUACUUGUCAUUGAAGUGGAUGUAUCUAGAUGUAUUUUUGUUCUAGAUACAUUCAUUUUCAUCCAUUUUGAUGACAAGUAUUUCCGGACGGAGGGAGUACUUA
Molecule: non-coding RNA, 125 nt
Organism: Triticum aestivum (bread wheat)
Lineage: Eukaryota; Viridiplantae; Streptophyta; Magnoliopsida; Poales; Poaceae
Source: Rfam